GAAGAGGUUGAACAUCCUGCAUAGUCCUGCCAGGAAAUCCCUAUGUCAUACUAUGAAGGGGUUGGCUGUUUGCAUGUAUAAGAUGUCCCAUCUCCUGGCCCACUUCAUCA
This 110-nucleotide microRNA precursor is filed under the name Fukomys damarensis (Damara mole-rat). RNAcentral describes it as "miRNA (ENSFDAG00000004564.1)". The record is from RNAcentral. Lineage: Eukaryota; Metazoa; Chordata; Mammalia; Rodentia; Bathyergidae.